Molecule: long non-coding RNA, 150 nt
Organism: Lampris incognitus (smalleye Pacific opah)
Lineage: Eukaryota; Metazoa; Chordata; Actinopteri; Lampriformes; Lampridae
Exons: 3
Source: RefSeq, a predicted model, not a curated record
UGUAUCUCUCAUGCUGCACAUCGAUGCAGAGACUCAAACCCAGCCAUUUUCUGCCGCUGCAGAAACACCACUACAAAUAUGAGUGAGGUGGAGGAGAGAGUGUGUGAGGCCGCUUUUCCGGGGUCGGGUCACGGUGGCAGCAAGCUACAU